CUCAGGAUGAACGCUAGCGAUAGGCCUAACACAUGCAAGUCGAGGGGCAGCGAUGGUAGCAAUACCAGGUCGGCGACCGGCGGAUGGGUGAGUAACACGUAUGCAACCUGCCUUCAACAUUGGAAUAACCCGUUGAAAGACGGACUAAUGCCUUAUAACACAGGGGGCGCCGCAUGGCGAUAUUUGUUAAAGAUUUUAUCGGUUGAAGAUGGGCAUGCGCAUGAUUAGUUAGUUGGUAAGGUAACGGCUUACCAAGACAACGAUCAUUAGGGGUUCUGAGAGGAAGGUCCCCCACACUGGUACUGAGACACGGACCAGACUCCUACGGGAGGCAGCAGUGAGGAAUAUUGGUCAAUGAGCGAGAGCUUGAACCAGCCACGUCGCGUGCAGGAAAGAAUGUCUUAUGGAUUGUAAACUGCUUUUUCGGUAGAGUAAUGUGCGUCACGUGUGACGUAUUGCAAGUAUACCGAGAAUAAGGAUCGGCUAACUCCGUGCCAGCCGCAGC
RNAcentral lists this ribosomal RNA (505 nucleotides) under uncultured bacterium. Its description in RNAcentral is "bacterial SSU rRNA". It matches the Rfam family "Bacterial small subunit ribosomal RNA", at positions 23 to 518 of the family's 1533-position model. The record is from RNAcentral.